This 667-nucleotide ribosomal RNA is filed under the name Staphylococcus aureus. RNAcentral's name for it is "bacterial SSU rRNA". It matches the Rfam family "Bacterial small subunit ribosomal RNA", at positions 250 to 908 of the family's 1533-position model. Lineage: Bacteria; Bacillati; Bacillota; Bacilli; Caryophanales; Staphylococcaceae. The record is from RNAcentral.
UGGUAAGGUAACGGCUUACCAAGGCAACGAUGCAUAGCCGACCUGAGAGGGUGAUCGGCCACACUGGAACUGAGACACGGUCCAGACUCCUACGGGAGGCAGCAGUAGGGAAUCUUCCGCAAUGGGCGAAAGCCUGACGGAGCAACGCCGCGUGAGUGAUGAAGGUCUUCGGAUCGUAAAACUCUGUUAUUAGGGAAGAACAUAUGUGUAAGUAACUGUGCACAUCUUGACGGUACCUAAUCAGAAAGCCACGGCUAACUACGUGCCAGCAGCCGCGGUAAUACGUAGGUGGCAAGCGUUAUCCGGAAUUAUUGGGCGUAAAGCGCGCGUAGGCGGUUUUUUAAGUCUGAUGUGAAAGCCCACGGCUCAACCGUGGAGGGUCAUUGGAAACUGGAAAACUUGAGUGCAGAAGAGGAAAGUGGAAUUCCAUGUGUAGCGGUGAAAUGCGCAGAGAUAUGGAGGAACACCAGUGGCGAAGGCGACUUUCUGGUCUGUAACUGACGCUGAUGUGCGAAAGCGUGGGGAUCAAACAGGAUUAGAUACCCUGGUAGUCCACGCCGUAAACGAUGAGUGCUAAGUGUUAGGGGGUUUCCGCCCCUUAGUGCUGCAGCUAACGCAUUAAGCACUCCGCCUGGGGAGUACGACCGCAAGGUUGAAACUCAAAGGA